Molecule: ribosomal RNA, 481 nt
Filed under: uncultured bacterium
Lineage: Bacteria
Description: bacterial SSU rRNA
Rfam family: Bacterial small subunit ribosomal RNA
Source: RNAcentral
GAUGAACGCUGGCGGCGUGCUUAACACAUGCAAGUCGAGCGAAGAUGCCGGAGUGCUUGCACUUUGGCAGACUGAGUGGCGGACGGGUGAGUAACGCGUGGGUAACCUGCCUUAUACAGGGGGAGUAACAGUUGGAAACGACUGCUAAUACCGCAUAAGCGCACGGUAUCGCAUGAUACAGUGUGAAAAACUCCGGUGGUAUAAGAUGGACCCGCGUCUGAUUAGCUUGUUGGUGAGGUAACGGCCCACCAAGGCGACGAUCAGUAGCCGGCCUGAGAGGGUGAACGGCCACAUUGGGACUGAGACACGGCCCAAACUCCUACGGGAGGCAGCAGUGGGGAAUAUUGCACAAUGGGGGAAACCGAUGAUGCAGCGACGCCGCGUGAAGGAAGAAGUAUCUCGGUAUGUAAAGCUCUGUCAGCAGGGAAGAUAAUGACGGUACCUGACUAAGAAGCACCGGCUAAAUACGUGCCAGCAGCCG